UAAUACGUAGGGUGCAGGCGUUAAUCGGAAUUACUGGGCGUAAAGCGUGCGCAGGCGGCUCCUUAAGUCAGAUGUGAAAGCCCCGGGCUUAACCUGGGAACUGCGUUUGAAACUGGGGAGCUGGAGUGUAGAAGAGGGGGGUGGAAUUCCAGGUGUAGCAGUGAAAUGCGUAGAGAUCUGGAGGAACACCGAUGGCGAAGGCAGCCCCCUGGGCUAACACUGACGCUCAUGCACGAAAGCGUGGGGAGCAAACAGGAUUAGAUACCCUGGUAGUCCACGCCCUAAACGAUGUCAACUGGUUGUCGGGGAAGUAAUUCCUUGGUAACGAAGCUAACGCGUGAAGUUGACCGCCUGGGGAGUACGGCCGCAAGGCU
This 374-nucleotide ribosomal RNA is filed under the name uncultured bacterium. RNAcentral's name for it is "bacterial SSU rRNA". It matches the Rfam family "Bacterial small subunit ribosomal RNA", at positions 521 to 895 of the family's 1533-position model. The record is from RNAcentral.